This 200-nucleotide unclassified non-coding RNA is filed under the name uncultured Tomentella. RNAcentral's name for it is "sequence contains ITS1". Lineage: Eukaryota; Fungi; Basidiomycota; Agaricomycetes; Thelephorales; Thelephoraceae. The record is from RNAcentral.
CUGAACUGUUGACACGAGUUGUUGCUGGUCCUCAAAUGGGGGCAUGUGCACGCUCUGUUUACACAUCCACUCACACCUGUGCACUCUCUGUAGUUCUAUGGUAUGGGGGACUCUGUCCUCCUGCUGUGGUUCUAUGUUUUUACACACACACUGUAAUUAAAGUCUCAUGGGAUGUAUACCGCGUUUAACGCAAUACAAUA